UACGGAGGAUUAAAGCGUUAUCCGGAUUUAUUGGGUGUAAAGGGUGCGUAGACGGGAAGACAAGUUAGUUGUGAAAUCCCUCGGCUUAACUGAGGAACUGCAACUAAAACUAUCUUUCUUGAGUGCUGGAGAGGAAAGUGGAAUUCCUAGUGUAGCGGUGAAAUGCGUAGAUAUUAGGAGGAACACCAGUGGCGAAGGCGGCCUGCUGGACAGAAACUGACGUUGAGGCUCGAAAGCGUGGGGAGCAAACAGG
Molecule: ribosomal RNA, 253 nt
Filed under: uncultured Eubacteriales bacterium
Lineage: Bacteria; Bacillati; Bacillota; Clostridia; Eubacteriales
Description: uncultured Clostridiales bacterium partial 16S ribosomal RNA
Rfam family: Bacterial small subunit ribosomal RNA
Source: RNAcentral